AUACUACUCACUCCGUCCAACAAAGGAUGUCUCAAGUUUGUCUAAUUUGGAUGCAUCUGUACACUAAGUCAUGUCUACAUACAUCCAAAUUUUGACAAACUUGAGACAUCUUUUGUUGGACGGAGGGAGUAGUAU
Brachypodium distachyon (stiff brome) is the source of this 135-nucleotide non-coding RNA. NCBI's taxonomy places the organism in Eukaryota, Viridiplantae, Streptophyta, Magnoliopsida, Poales, Poaceae. The record is from Rfam.